GUGCUCACUUAGGCAGAACACAUGCUAAAGUUGGAGCAGUACAGAGAAGAUUAGCAUGACCUCCAUACAAGAAUGACAAAGUUUUAAAAUGUUAAUAUAUGUGUAUAU
Small nuclear RNA from Callithrix jacchus (white-tufted-ear marmoset), 108 nucleotides. The record is from Ensembl. NCBI's taxonomy places the organism in Eukaryota, Metazoa, Chordata, Mammalia, Primates, Cebidae.